GAUGAACGCUAGCGAUAGGCCUAACACAUGCAAGUCGAGGGGCAUCACAUGAAGUAGCAAUACGGAUGGUGGCGACCGGCGCACGGGGUGAGUAACACGUAUGCAACCUGCCUUCAACAAGGGGAUAACCCGUUGAAAGACGGACUAAUACCCUAUAACACAGGGGUCCCGCAUGGGAAUAUUUGUUAAAGGACAACCGGUUGAAGAUGGGCAUGCGUUCCAUUAGCUAGUUGGCGGGUAACGGCCCACCAAGGCAACGAUGGAUAGGGGAACUGAGAGGUUUAUCCCCCACACUGGUACUGAGACACGGACCAGACUCCUACGGGAGGCAGCAGUGAGGAAUAUUGGUCAAUGGACGCAAGUCUGAACCAGCCACGUCGCGUGAAGGAAGACGGCCCUACGGGUUGUAAACUUCUUUUAUACGGGAAUAAAGUGCCCCACGCGUGGGGUUUUGCAUGUACCGUAUGAAUAAGGAUCGGCUAAC
RNAcentral lists this ribosomal RNA (484 nucleotides) under uncultured bacterium. RNAcentral's name for it is "bacterial SSU rRNA". It matches the Rfam family "Bacterial small subunit ribosomal RNA", at positions 28 to 501 of the family's 1533-position model. The record is from RNAcentral.